UCUGCGAGAGGCCCGGGCCUCCCACCAGGAGCUGAGCCAGAACCAGGAAUGUCUUCCACACCUACCGGGGCUCCGCCAUGGCUCUAGUCUCGGUGAAGCAGUAAAAGACAUGGAUUUCCCAGGACCCAGGCCAGAGGCCCCCCCAAGGCGUCAGAGGGCUCCACGUGGCUCAGUGGGACCUCAAGACUUGUUCUGCACAGUGUCUCAUCAGGGCAGAAGUGAUGCCUGUCACUUCCUCUGCAUCAUCUUUAGUGGCUGGUGCAAAACCACCAGGGUUUUCCUCUCCCCUGGUACAACAGCUGCUCUAUCCCCCAGAUUCUGUGGGUGGCCAUGAUGGAUAGAGUCAAACCCACUCAACCUACAGUGGACAGCGCCUGUGGCCUGCUGUCACCAGGAGCCCGCCCAGGGGGCCCCACCCCCGCGUCCACCUCCCAGCCCUGGACGGCUCCUUGAAGGCUCCCUGUGAGAUGGCCGACACCCCACACACACCCGGGGCACACAGCGAAGCUUUGCCGCUUCCUGGCUGUGCCUUCCUAGGCAGAGAGGAUACCUUCCACGCAUCCUUAAAACCCAGCCACGAGCCUUGUAGAGCAGGAAGGGUGAUCCGCAGCGCCCAGCCUGGCGCCCACUCCAGCAAUACCUGUUGUCAUCAGACCCAGGACUUAAUGGGACUCUGUAGCUCGCUCUACUGCAGAACAGAGCCACUCUGCCUGACAGCAUCGUCCGCUAGGAGUGACAGUAUCGGGCCGCCAGCUGCGCUUUGCAGCUCUUGUAUCCUGACGAAGGACCACCAGCCUUGGGCUUCUCCUGCGGGGAGCAGGCGUGUCCUCAAGUCACCAGGCAUUUGGCAGCUGCUCUGCCUCGUAGGAGAUGUGCUGUUGCUCCAUGGGAGGGGCACAGAUCUGGGAGCCUGCAGACCUGGGUUCCAAUCAUGCCUCUACUUCUUAUUCUCUGUGGAUCCUUCGUGGGCCCCUUGGAGCCUCAUCCUCCUCAUCUGUAAAAUGGGACACACAGCCUCUCUUGCAGGGUGGCUGUGAGGACAAAGGGAGAUAAGCUGAGCAUUCCCCUUGGUCUUUGGCAUCAAGUAGAUGCUCAAUAAAUGGUGCCGGCUUCCUCCCUGCGCAGGGGAUAAUGCCAAAGGUGUCCCCGUGCUGAUCUCCAGACCUCUGAACGUGUCAUCCUACAGAGCCAAA
This is a non-coding RNA of Ictidomys tridecemlineatus (thirteen-lined ground squirrel), 1193 nucleotides long. The record is from RefSeq and is a predicted model, not a curated record. NCBI's taxonomy places the organism in Eukaryota, Metazoa, Chordata, Mammalia, Rodentia, Sciuridae.